RNAcentral lists this ribosomal RNA (253 nucleotides) under uncultured bacterium. RNAcentral describes it as "partial 16S ribosomal RNA". It matches the Rfam family "Bacterial small subunit ribosomal RNA", at positions 524 to 776 of the family's 1533-position model. The record is from RNAcentral.
UACAGAGGUCUCAAGCGUUGUCCGGAAUUAUUGGGCGUAAAGAGCUCGUAGGCGGCUUGUCACGUCGGGUGUGAAAGCCCGGGGCUUAACCCCGGGUCUGCAUUCGAUACGGGCAGGCUAGAGUGUGGUAGGGGAGAUCGGAAUUCCUGGUGUAGCGGUGAAAUGCGCAGAUAUCAGGAGGAACACCGGUGGCGAAGGCGGAUCUCUGGGCCAUUACUGACGCUGAGGAGCGAAAGCGUGGGGAGCGAACAGG